CCUACGGGGGGCUGCAGUGGGGAAUAUUGCACAAUGGGCGCAAGCCUGAUGCAGCCAUGCCGCGUGUGUGAAGAAGGCCUUCGGGUUGUAAAGCACUUUCAGCGGGGAGGAAGGCGGUGAGGUUAAUAACCUCAUCGAUUGACGUUACCCGCAGAAGAAGCACCGGCUAACUCCGUGCCAGCAGCCGCGGUAAUACGGGGGGUGCAAGCGUUAAUCGGAAUUACUGGGCGUAAAGCGCACGCAGGCGGUCUGUCAAGUCGGAUGUGAAAUCCCCGGGCUCAACCUGGGAACUGCAUUCGAAACUGGCAGGCUAGAGUCUUGUAGAGGGGGGUAGAAUUCCAGGUGUAGCGGUGAAAUGCGUAGAGAUCUGGAGGAAUACCGGUGGCGAAGGCGGCCCCCUGGACAAAGACUGACGCUCAGGUGCGAAAGCGUGGGGAGCAAACAGGAUUAGAUACCCUGGUAGUC
RNAcentral lists this ribosomal RNA (465 nucleotides) under uncultured Klebsiella sp. Its description in RNAcentral is "bacterial SSU rRNA". It matches the Rfam family "Bacterial small subunit ribosomal RNA", at positions 338 to 795 of the family's 1533-position model. The record is from RNAcentral. Lineage: Bacteria; Pseudomonadati; Pseudomonadota; Gammaproteobacteria; Enterobacterales; Enterobacteriaceae.